UACAUGGGGUGCAAACGUUGCUCGGAAUUAUUGGGCGUAAAGCGCACGUAGGCGGUCCGUUAAGUCGGAUGUGAAAGCCCCCGGCUCAACCGGGGAAGUGCAUCCGAAACUGGCGGGCUAGAGUACGAAAGAGGGUCGCGGAAUUCCCGGUGUAGAGGUGAAAUUCGUAGAUAUCGGGAGGAACACCGGUGGCGAAGGCGGCGACCUGGCUCGAUACUGACGCUCAUGCACGAAAGCGUGGGGAGCAAACAGG
RNAcentral lists this ribosomal RNA (253 nucleotides) under uncultured bacterium. Its description in RNAcentral is "partial 16S ribosomal RNA". It matches the Rfam family "Bacterial small subunit ribosomal RNA", at positions 524 to 776 of the family's 1533-position model. The record is from RNAcentral.